Molecule: ribosomal RNA, 468 nt
Filed under: uncultured bacterium
Lineage: Bacteria
Description: partial 16S ribosomal RNA
Rfam family: Bacterial small subunit ribosomal RNA
Source: RNAcentral
GACGAACGCUGGCGGCGUGCUUAACACAUGCAAGUCGAACGGAAAGGCCCUGCUUUUGUGGGGUGCUCGAGUGGCGAACGGGUGAGUAACACGUGAGUAACCUGCCCUUGACUUUGGGAUAACUUCAGGAAACUGGGGCUAAUACCGGAUAGGAGCUCCUGCUGCAUGGUGGGGGUUGGAAAGUUUCGGCGGUUGGGGAUGGACUCGCGGCUUAUCAGCUUGUUGGGGGGGUAGUGGCUUACCAAGGCUUUGACGGGUAGCCGGCCUGAGAGGGUGACCGGCCACAUUGGGACUGAGAUACGGCCCAGACGGCUACGGGAGGCAGCAGUGGGGAAUAUUGCAGAAUGGGCGGAAGCCUGAUGCAGCAGCGCCGGGUGCGGGAUGACGGGCUUCGGGUUGUAAACCGCUUUCGCCGGUGACGAAGCGUGAGUGACGGUAAUGGGUAAAGAAGCACCGGCUAACUACGUG